This 514-nucleotide ribosomal RNA is filed under the name uncultured bacterium. RNAcentral describes it as "partial 16S ribosomal RNA". It matches the Rfam family "Bacterial small subunit ribosomal RNA", at positions 28 to 523 of the family's 1533-position model. The record is from RNAcentral.
GAUGAACGCUGGCGGCGUGCCUAAUACAUGCAAGUCGAGCGAACUGAUUAGAAGCUUGCUUCUAUGACGUUAGCGGCGGACGGGUGAGUAACACGUGGGCAACCUGCCUGUAAGACUGGGAUAACUUCGGGAAACCGAAGCUAAUACCGGAUAGAAUCUUCUCCUUCAUGGGAGAUGAUUGAAAGAUGGUUUCGGCUGUCACUUACAGAUGGGCCCGCGGUGCAUUAGCUAGUUGGUGAGGUAACGGCUCACCAAGGCAACGAUGCAUAGCCGACCUGAGAGGGUGAUCGGCCACACUGGGACUGAGACACGGCCCAGACUCCUACGGGAGGCAGCAGUAGGGAAUCUUCCGCAAUGGACGAAAGUCUGACGGAGCAACGCCGCGUGAGUAAUGAAGGCUUUCGGGUCGUAAAACUCUGUUGUUAGGGAAGAACAAGUACGAGAGUAACUGCUCGUACCUUGACGGUACCUAACCAGAAAGCCACGGCUAACUACGUGUCAGCCGCCGCCGUAA